This is a long non-coding RNA of Nothobranchius furzeri (turquoise killifish), 2607 nucleotides long. RefSeq lists it as uncharacterized. The record is from RefSeq and is a predicted model, not a curated record. Lineage: Eukaryota; Metazoa; Chordata; Actinopteri; Cyprinodontiformes; Nothobranchiidae.
UUAACUGAGUCUCUGAAGCCAAAGCUUGUUAAAUUUAUACUUCCAUUGACAUAAAAAGCUAGUUUGAUUUUAAACAAGCCGUUUCAGGAGCAGAGUAACUGGAAUCCUUCAUGGAGAAGCUUGAAUUGAGCGCUUUGGGCUUCCUGACAGGGUUGCGGAAGGCGCUUUAUAAAUAAAGCUUUGAUUGAUUGAUUGAUUGAAUGUCUGCUGGUAAGUUUAAUCUAAUACAGCGGCUGUAACAUGUUGUAGUUCUGUCCCAGUGAAGUAAAACCCAAAGUACUCAGGCAGAACUACAACUAUAAGGAACGAAAAAAAUCCCACAAAAUGUUUUUUUUAAGAAAAAAGCAAAUAAUGAGUAAACAUGCAGAACUGAGAUGUGAAUAAAUGUUAUUUUAUCACUUUUUAUGGGAAAUCUGGAUUUAUUUAAGAUUUCCUAGAGCAGAAGUUCAAUGAAAAACCAUUUUUUCUUUAUUCUUUUUUAAAUAUGAUCGGUCACUCUGAGUUUCACAUGCAUGAAGAACAUUAAAAUUGCCUUCUAGCUCCAUCGCCUGAAUUAGCCGUCAGAAAAGUAAGUAGACGAGGAAACGGUCAGGCCCUUCCACGCCACAGAGAAAUGGGUUUAUGGCCUCAAACACCUUCGCUUGCAACCUCAGAGAGCUGUGUUGAUUUAGCAGCCAGGAGAGAGCAGAGCACGUCUAGGCUAGUAGAAGCUAACCAUUAGCAUUAGCAACUCCACCACACGGCAGAACUUUUUCAGGUUAUUUGUGGAGAUAAAACAUCAAUGUUGGUGAGUGAACAGUCAGUGAUUGCGUUGAAAUUAGCCAAUGAGAAGAGACAUGUUCACAUAUCAUGAAUAAUAAUGAGUUAGACGCCAAACUCACGGUUUUCUGCUUCCUAAAAGAGGAGCGCCAGAGCUGUUUAUCCACAAAAAUGAAUCACAAGGCUUUGUUGCUACAAGAGACCACUGCAAAUAUAUUGAUGUUUAUGUAUUUAGCAGACGCUUUUGUCCAAAGCGACUUACAUGUGAUAAUCGGCAUAUUGCCCUUGAGGCUAACAACAACAAUAACAACAACUUGACAUCAAUCAUGAAGAGGAGGGAACAAGGAGUAGACGGUAGAGAGGGGGGACGGGUGCAGGGAGGGUGCUAGUUUAGAAGAUGCUCUCUGAAGAGCAGGGUCUUCAGGAGUUUCUUGAAAAUUGAAAAUGAAGCCGCUGUUCUGGUAGUGCUUGGAAGGUCGUUCCACAUUUGUGGAACGAUGCAUGAGAAGAGUCUGGAUUGUCCUGAGCGUGGUGUAGGCACUGCUAGCCGACGAUCCUGUGAUGACCGGAGCGGCCGGGCCGAGACGUAAGCCUUUGCAAGAGGAUUCAGGUAGAUGGGAGCCGUACCAUCUCAGACUUUGUAUGCUAGUGUUAGCAAUUUGAAUUUGAUGCGUGCUGCUAGCGGUAGCCAGUGGAGCUCAAUGAACAGAGGGGUGAUGUGUGCUCUUUUUGGCUGAUUGAAGACCAGACGCGCCGCUGCGUUCUGGACCAUUUGAAGAGGUCUCACAGUACAGCCUGGAAGACCAGUUAGAAGGGCAUUGCAGUAAUCGAGGCGGGAGAUGACAGUAGAUUGCACCACGAGCUGGGCGGCAUGUUGUAUUAGGUAUGGUCUGAUCUUUCGUAUGUUAUACAGCGCAAAGCGGCAUGGACGCUGAAAUUACAGGUGUGGGCCCACUUUAAAGAACAAGUCACCCACUACCAGAGUAUUACUCCACUCCCACUUCCUGUUUGAAAAAUGCAACAAAUGCUGUUGCCUAGCAGACCGAGAGGGUGGAGCCGCUAACAAAUACACACACACACGACAUUGUGGCUGCAUCUCAAUUCAGGGUCUGCAUCCUACGUCGGCCGGAUUCGUCGGCCGGUUACGUCACAGCGCCGCGACUAGGCCUGUCCCAAUUCGAAGACUCCUUCAAAUGUGGUCGACGAAUCCGGCCUUCUUUUUGCCUGAAUGAAGGAUGGGUCCGGUGUAUCCAUCAAUGGGUAGCAUUUCCCAAGAUGCCUUGCGGGCCGGCCGGUAGAAAAACGGCGGACAGUGAAGCGGGAGCUGUUGGAGAGGAUUGCGCAUAUAAAUGUCAGUAUAAACUUGAAAACUGUUAGGUUAUGGACUUUUGGUGAUACAUGAACGUUAUUUUAGUUAGAAAUGUUACAGUAAAAGUGCUUGUAUUGCAGUCUCGGCUCGUAUGUUCGGCCGCUCGGUGUCGUACUUCUCCCGCUUCGUUUCCCCCCUGAUUUUAAUAGAAGUUUGUAUUUUAGGUACAAGAGAAAACCAGGGAAUUUAUUAAGCUUAGGGAGGAGAUGGACCACAUGAUCACUGGAGCAAAGUAUUCGGCGGCUGUGGCAUGGAGACUAUUCUGGAGAAAAUGGGCAUCCAGGGGAAGGUGCCAGCGAUGACCAGCUUCUGGAGCUGAUCAGGGAGGACAUGAGGCUGCAGAGGGAGGCAGAGCAGCAGAGGGCAGGAGAGAAGGGAGAAUUUUGACAGCUUUUUACUUUGCUAGAAAAAAAUGGUUAAUAAAGAUUAAACAUGUACAUAUAAAAGAAAUAUCUAAAUAAAAUCAGUUCUGCAUUAAA